This 439-nucleotide ribosomal RNA is filed under the name uncultured bacterium. Its description in RNAcentral is "partial 16S ribosomal RNA". It matches the Rfam family "Bacterial small subunit ribosomal RNA", at positions 338 to 795 of the family's 1533-position model. The record is from RNAcentral.
CCUACGGGAGGCAGCAGUGGGGAAUAUUGCACAAUGGGCGAAAGCCUGAUGCAGCAACGCCGCGUGAGCGAUGAAGGCAUUCGGGUCGUAAAGCUCUGUCCUCAAGGAAGAUAAUGACGGUACUUGAGGAGGAAGCCCCGGCUAACUACGUGCCAGCAGCCGCGGUAAUACGUAGGGGGCUAGCGUUAUCCGGAAUUACUGGGCGUAAGGGGUGCGUAGGUGGUUUCUUAAGUCAGAGGUGAAAGGCUACGGCUCAACCGUAGUAAGCCUUUGAAACUGGGGAACUUGAGUGCAGGAGAGGAGAGUGGAAUUCCUAGUGUAGCGGUGAAAUGCGUAGAUAGUAGGAGGAACACCAGUUGCGAAGGCGGCUCUCUGGACUGUAACUGACACUGAGGCACGAAAGCGUGGGGAGCAAACAGGAUUAGAUACCCCUGUAGUC